Molecule: long non-coding RNA, 1407 nt
Organism: Chelonia mydas (Green sea turtle)
Lineage: Eukaryota; Metazoa; Chordata; Testudines; Cheloniidae
Exons: 3
Source: RefSeq, a predicted model, not a curated record
AGCCCUGAGGAAGCAAACUGUAAGCAGGAGAAAAAAGAGAAACGAAAACACAAUGGAGUUACAAUAGGAGAAAGGUUGCAUGGGAGAGGUUUCUAUUGGUCAGGUUGGAUAAUCAGUGCAGUCAUCAUUUUACGCGUUCUGUAACAAGCUACAGCAAAUCAGGGAUUGAGCAAUCUCUGUCUCUCUGCCUUGGUCCUUGUCUCUCCUUCCAUUUGUUUGUAUCUUUUUUCACACAUCCCUCCCUCCAUAUCAUUUGUCCAAAUUAAUAACUACUGUCUCUUAUUUCUCUCAAGCGAUCUCUGGCUUUGUGUGACUUUGGUCCUAGUGGCUCCCAAACUGGAAGAACCCAGGUUAGCCAUUUUACCUAUAAUUUGGAGUGGGACUGAGUUUUCACCUUCCCAUCUCGCUAGAUUUUCUGAUGGAAAAGAAAGCAUUUACAUCUGUGUCCUGAAAUGGUAGAUCCCAAAUGAUCAGUAAUGGCUUCCUUGCCUCUGUUCCCUAUCUGAAAAGGAGGCACAGAAGACUGACUGAAGUUUUUAGAAGAUUUAGUCCUGCUACACGUGAGUGUCUUCAGUCAGCAUGUUGUUCAGAUAGUAAUCUGAUCUGAGAUGGUCAAUGUCUCUGACCUAUGGACAUAGGAAAUCUAGAGUAAGGAACCUUUGUCCCUGUACAGCAAAACUUUUCCAUAUCCACAACCCAGAGACCGAGCCAGGUCACAGCUGUUAGAAAGAAGGAGCUGAGUUUUGAAAAAGAGGUGUACCUGUCACCAGGGUUAGGGGCAGCUGUGAAAUUAGAGUUGGUUCCUUUAGUUGUUCUAUCCCCAUAUUAAAUAGUUGUUUCUUUAUAGUAUACUGUAACAGCCACUGUCUGCAAGGGUCCAAGUCCAGAGAUCACUCCCCUGCUUUAACCCUGGGGCUCUCAGGGACUUGUGCCCUUCACAUUAGUGUUUUAUUACUUGAGAAACAACAACUUUUGUAUUCCAGAUAUAUUCCAGCUUUAAGUGUGACAUGAGCUUACAGACAAGAAUGAGUCAGCCUGUGGAACUUUCACUUCCUCAACCAGUAUACCCCCUCACCUUGAGCCAGUGAUCUGUCUUCAGAACCACCUCACCAGUGUUCACUGAUUUCCAUUCAGCACAUUCAACAAAAUCAGGAUAUGGAACCUGGCAUCAGAUCCGCCCAAGGACUCUGAAUAUUCAGUGAGUGACUAGCUCCAGCUUCUACUGGGACAAUGAAAAGGAGAUGGAUCCUGUAGAAGGGACCAGUUCAGUAAGCCACCAGCUCUUCUGCCUCCAUGCUCUGCUCAAUCUCAGAUAGCAGGGAUGUGCUGGUUGUGUUGAAACUUUGGAGACUUCUCUCCUCGCUAAGCUCUUCUACCUUUCCCUGGAGCUGCCGACAGGACAGUCGC